Lycium barbarum (goji berry) is the source of this 6624-nucleotide RNA transcript. It is a transcript of the gene named 26S proteasome non-ATPase regulatory subunit 11 homolog, with no coding region annotated. Lineage: Eukaryota; Viridiplantae; Streptophyta; Magnoliopsida; Solanales; Solanaceae. The record is from RefSeq and is a predicted model, not a curated record. The transcript has 3 exons.
AGUACUGAAAAAAAACCCUAACCCUUUUUUUAUUACGAGUUAAUUGCGAAUUUUACAAUGCUUUUGUGAGCUGUUUGUGUUCAUAAUACUUAAAUGUGUGUUGCGAACUUGAGAUAUUUGAAUUUAAGUUGCUAGAUAUAAUCUCCUUGGAGAAUGUAGAACAUAAUCUCAAAUGAUUUGUAGUGGUUACUAAAAAUAGCUGUCUCAAAUUACUUAGCAAGUAGAAUGGAACUGGUAUUGAGGAUUCAUAAGGAUAAAUUUAACUAGUUUAUAGGAUUGAGGAAUUAUUUUUUUGUUUUUUUUUUGGAUUAAGGCAGAAGGUUAGUAGGUAGUUGAGUUCAUGGCUUUUUCGGUUUCGUUAUUUUCAUUUACAUACUGCUUUGAAUUGCUUGUCCUUACUUGACCUUUUUUUCAUGCUUUCUCUUGAGCCGAGGGUCUUUCAGAAACAACCUCUCUGUCUCCAGGAGGUAGGGGUAAGGUCUGUGUAUACUGUACUCCCCAGACCUCGCGUUGUGGGAUUUCACUGGGUAUGUUGUUGUUGUUAGUGGGUAGUUGAGUGUUGUCCCGCUCUCUUGCGGAUAGGCUUGGUGGGUAGUUAGUAUUAGCAUUAUUCUCGUAGUUUCUUGUCACUGUUACUACCUGUUGUUUCUUGUGCGUCGGUUAUUGCGUUAUUUUGCUCUCAAUGCUAUGUUACACUCUCCCUAUUACUUGCUAUGCCUUAUUUACUUAUGUAUUUUCUUUUUUCAAACUGCUUUGUUUCACAUUACUUUGAGCCGAGGGUCUUUAGGAAGCAACCUCUCUAUCUCCCGGAGGUAGGGGUAAGGUCUGCGUACAUCUACCUUCCCCAGACCCCACAUGUGGGAAAUACUGGGUUUGUUGUUGUUGGUGUCCAGACACACCAACUUGCCCGCACCUCGACUAUUCUACUAGGUACUUGUUACUUCCCAUCAGCUCAGAGUACCAGAUAAAUUUGCCUACCAAACGCUUAGCUAGAUGAGAGGAAAUUACCUAGUGGUUUUUCGCUCUCGCUAGGAUUUGAACUUGAGAUCUCAGUUCUCCUCCAAUUUCAUUGAUCACUAGGCCACACCGUCAGAUGACGAAGAGUUAUUGUUGUUGUUCUCUUAAAUACAACAACAACUAGGCCUCAGUCCCAAUCAAGUUGGGACUUUUGAUAGAACCUUUAUCAUCAGUUUGGGACUGUUGAGCAACUAGGGUGUAAGGUCUAGUUAAUGGGUUCGAUUUCAGGAAUUUCAUGAAUGCUUAAAUAUGUUCGCUGCCUAUUCAAUGGUCUUAUGAGACCUUGAGUUUUCAUCAAUGUAGGUAGUCAUCACCCAUUUACUCUCUGGAAGCUGUGAUGUUGUUGUUGAUUGUUUGUCAUGUUUGAUUUUACUUUGAUUUUGUUGGAGUCACGCUUGAAGUCCUCAAUCAAUUUUGCCUUUCAAAAUGUAUCAUUACGCCUACUACAUACUCGUGUCUUUUUAUGUGUAGAUUGUAGAUGGUUAGUGCUUUUUAUAAUCUUGGCAAAAUACAUAGAAAGCCUCUUGAACUUGCCAAUUUUUUCUGUUAGACACCUCAACUAAGGGUGUGACCUCUUGAACACUUGAGUAGGUAUAAAAUGCGCCUACUGAACACAACACGUUGACAUCGCACAACGCGUGAUCCUUACUUGAAUUUAAGCACACGAACUGACUAAUUCUCCUGACAUGACUGCCGACAUCAUCAUCUCUCUCAUGCCCCCUUCUUCCCCUCUCAAGUCCACCAUUUUUGCCUAUGCUCAUACACUGCUUCUUGGUGGCUGCCAUAGUUAUGCAGUUAUUAUGGGUUGUAUCUGUGUAAUCAAUGGUGAGGGCUUGUAUAAAUGUUUGGUAGAGAUGGUGAUUCUGAGAGUUAGCUAUUAUAUCUAUUUUAGUUGGCCUAAAAAGUCCAGCUAGGAUAGUUUUUUGGUGGAUUACUUGGUCUCAAUUGCCACAUGUCAUCCUCUCACUUGGUCAAUUGCGAUGUCACCUGCGUCUGGAUUUGACACUCUUGGUGAUGGACUUAAAAAUCUGCUAGCUGUAAUAAUGUCAUCCUCGCAUAUACCUGCAACCACAGAUUCGCUAGCUCAGGCUUCUGAGGCUAAUACCCCAUCUGAGGCUAUCUCCAUUCUCUACCGCAUGCUUGAGAACCCUUCAUCAUCUUCCGAGGCUCUAAGGAUCAAAGAGCAGGCAAUCUUCAAUCUCUGUGACCUCCUAAGUCGAGAGAAUAGGGCUGAGGAUCUCAAAAACCUUCUCAUCCAGUUGCGUCCCUUCUUCUCUUUAAUACCCAAGGCAAAAACAGCCAAAAUUGUUAAUAAAGGAAUCAUUGAUGCAGUGGCAAAAAUACCGGGUACAUCUGACCUUCGGAUUACACUUUGCAAGGAGAUAGUGCAAUGGACCCAUUCGGAGAAACGAACUUUCCUUCGUCAGAAAAUUGAGGCGAAACUUGCUGCUCUUCUGAUGGAAAACAAGGAGUAUUCUGAAGCAUUGACACUCCUUUCAGGACUGAUCAAGGAGGUGAGAAGACUGGAUGACAAGCUGCUUCUUAUGGAGAUUGACUUGCUGGAGAGCAAGCUCCAUUUUUCUUUGAGGAAUCUUCCCAAGGCCAAGGCUGCGCUUACAGCUGCUCGAACUGCAGCCAAUGCUAUUUAUGUCCAUCCAGAUCAGCAAGGUGAAAUUGAUUUGCAGAGUGGAAUACUUCAUGCAGAAGAAAAAGAUUAUAAAACUGCUUACAGCUAUUUCUAUGAGGCGUUUGAGGCAUUUAAUGCCCUUGCUCGCGAUCCCAAGAACACUUCAUCAAAAAAAGAUCCCAAUGCCAAGGCCAAAUACAGCCUUAAGUAUAUGUUGCUAUGCAAAAUCAUGGUCAGCCAGGCUGAUGAUGUUGCAGGAAUAAUAUCUUCGCGUGGAUUGGAAUAUCUGGGGCCGGAACUUGAUGCUAUGAAAGCUGUUGCUGAUGCUCACUCCAAGCGAUCUUUGAAGCUCUUUGAGAUUGCUCUUCGCAACUUUAAGGCUCAGCUUGAUGAAGAUCCUAUCGUCCAUAGGCACCUGUCUUCGCUCUAUGACACCUUAAUGGAGCAGAAUCUUUGCAGGUUGAUCAAGCCUUUCUCAAGGGUCGAGAUUGCAAAUAUUGCUAAGUUGAUUGAGUUGCCUGCUGACCAUGUUGAGAAGAAGUUAUCUCAAAUGAUAUUAGAUAAGAAGUUCGCUGGGACGCUGGACCAGGGUGCCGGAUGCCUUGUAAUUUUUGAAGACCCUAAGCAAGACGAGAUUUACCCGGCUACACUGGAAACUAUUUCAAAUAUGGGGAAGGUUGUUGACAGUCUGUUUACAAGAUCUUCAAAGAUAAUGGCUUGAGUUUUAAGACUUGUAUUUCUUGAAGGCAAUAUCUGUUUUAAGCUUCAGCUCCUUCUCUAAUGUUUUGUGCUUAUGGCAUUUUUAAUUUUGAUUACUUAGAGCCUAUCUACUACUAUACUAUAAGUGGGGAUAAGCAGGCAGCUCAGGGUCAACAUGCCUGCCUGGCAUGAGGGUAAUUCGGUCAUUCAACAAUCUACACCGACUCAUUUCAGGAUGAACUCACGGUCAUCACUUCGCUUCUCUACGAGUCUAUCAAUUUGCUCUACGGUUCUGAAAGCUCCUCUAUUCGCCGGUACGCUUCUUGUCUUCGCUCUUAUUCCUUGCUCUUGGUGGAUUUUCGUCGAUUGUUGCUUUCGGGUUGGUCUUUGGGAAUCAUCGUUCUUAUCGCUUUAUCGAAAUUCGCAGUUUCAUUCUUCUUCUUCUUCAUGGGUGAGCUUUAUGUUGUUACUGCUAUGUUAUUAGAAUGUGAUUUCUAUUUUUGUUUCUAUUCUGUCGAGUCGCUAUGAAAUUGCUUAUUCAGCACAGGGAUGGAAGAAAUUUCGGGGAAACCUUGUUUAAUCUACUUGGAAGUACUGAAAUUUCACUACAUUUUCCUCCUGGACCAUCUUUUUAUUUUUUUCCUCGUCGUGAAUUUGAUGUUGUUGCCGACAAGCUUGAAAAAGUACUCGCCGGGUGAGCUUUACAGCGAAUUGGUUAAGCUUCCCAUUGUAUUCACUGUUGUUUUCCUACUAUUCUGCUUCAUUUUGUUUGGUUGUUGGUGUUUGCUUCAGUUCAUGAGGAUUUUUGGGCUUCUUUUGGAUUUCCGAAGUUGGCUGAAUAAAAUUUUCGACUCCUUUGCAUCUUCUAAGUCGACUAAAACAUGAACUAGAGUUUGACGUAUAUCGCCAAUUGGAAAAGGAGGAAUCAAAUAUAAUUUCCAACCCCUUGGAAAAUAAAAUUUCCUAUAAAUCUUAUUGUGAAAGAGCUUAUUUGUUUCGACAGAAAGACACAGAGAGAGAGAGAAGGGGAAAGAAUGAAUAGGCCAUCAUGAAUAAGCCAUCACUGUUAGAAUUCUUAGAAGUGCAGACUUCUCUUUUUGGCUUGUGUUUCUCCCAGUGCUUCCUCUCCAACAAAGAAGAAACAGAACAAGACCUUAAAACAAUCUAUAUUUGUUUUUCUCAGCAGGAAAAGAAAAAAAAUAGUUUUGCUACAUGGAAAACUGGUGACAUAACAAAAUGCAACUUUUCAUUUUUAUUUUGCCCAAAGUGUGUUGUCACAGAGUUAUACGUAAUCAAUCGUGAGACAGUUAUACUCCUUCUGUUCCUGUUACAUAUUUAAUUAGCUCCUUAAUCUUAGCAUUGGUAUUAGAUUUUGAAAUAUGUCGUUUCCUUAUACUGCUUGUGUUAUUUGUAAAAACAUUGCAGCUAAAAUAUGGGAUUUCAAAAUGGGUAAUGUUAACCAUUUCAUUGUUCACAGAAACCCAUCGAUGACAUACUAGCUGCCUUGCUUGAAGAAUAACUGAAAGAACUUCUUGCACAAUUCAUGCCUUUCUGUUUUUAUGACUAUAAAUUAUUUCUUUACUAAGUUUGUCUAAAUAUUAUCUAAUUCUCCUGCUUGCGUCGAGCAUGUUUACGUUUCAAAAUGUGCUAGAAAGCAAAUGAAUAAUGCACCAUCUCAAGCGAAUGUGUAGCACAACCUUGCAUUUGUAGCACCAACUGCUCCACCGAGGACACAUAAAAGGUUAGAAAUAAAAAUGAGGAAAUUUACUCAGAAUAUCUUUCCUGAGCUGACCAAAAUCAUUCUUCUUUGAAAUAUUUCUCCGCUUUCUGUCACUCUUUUGUUAGUAGAUGGUUUAUGUUGGAAUGAUUUGAUAUUUCUUGUAAUUAUUCCUACUUUGAUUUGGUAUGACAACAAGGAAGAAUUAGCUGCAAAUUGUUAUAUUUUAUUAUGUGAGAAAAUUUUGCGUUUUUAACAAUAAAAUUGAGGAUUAAUAGAAAAUUCAAUUUUUAACACCUUCCUUACAAUAUAUGAGACACAAAAUUGGAAUUGAAAUUAUCGCAUGCUGGUUUGUUACGUGUACUCGCCUCUUUUGAGAUUUGCAACUCUUCCGGUGAUUUUGUGCUACAAGUUUAUGACUUUUGAAGUGACUUCUCUAUUUUCUUGAACAACCACUUAGGAGGAGUCAGUAAACCUGUGUAUAUUAGGGUGACCCGGACCACUAUAACCAGCUUCUUUUGCUUAUAUGUUGUAAUGAACGCGCCCUAAAAGUGGUACAUUUUCCUCAGAUAUUGCACCUAGGCCUCCCGCAAUUGAGUUUCCUGGUUGUGAUUUGCCUUUUUUUGACAACUUUGAAAGCUUGGUCAGGAUCAGUUUCUUCUCUACACAUUAUUCACCGCAGUGUUGUCAAAGGCGCGCUUAAGCCCUGAAGCGAGGCUCAAAACAUGCUGAGAGAUUCGCCUCGCUUUAUUUGCGCUUCAGUGUUAUCAUCAAGGCUCUAAGACAACUUUUCCUUGCCCUUGAGCCUUUCUUGAAGACGUGAUACUAGAUAAUUGAUAUUUCACUUUAUCGUAAUGUUUUUACAAUUUCUUUGUCCAUAUAUUUGUUAUUCAUGCUUAUUACUAUUAGUCUUGGACUAAACGUAUAUAUAUUUGUAUUUUUGCACCAUUGUGCCUUUUUUCAUUAAAGCCCACGCUUUAUUUGCGUUUUGCGCUUAAAGCCUCAGCCUCCCUGUCUUCCGAGAUAGGGGUAUGGUCUGCGUACACUUUACCCUCCCCAGACCUCAUAUUGUGGGAUUUCACUGGGUAUGUUGUUGUUGUUGUUGUUGUUGCUUAAAGCCCCAGGCUGACCUUAGAGCUUUUUUGCGCUUUUCGCUUUUGAUAACACUGAUUCACCGUGGAUCUCUUAGUUUCAUGUGUAAGUUCUAAAUAGCCGUAUAAACUUUCAGUCUGUUCUUUUAAAUAUGAAUACAAGCAGUGAGAUCUAUUCCUUUAAAUAAGGAUACAUGCAGUGAAAAGACUAUAUACGUAAAUGUCUUAUUUGCCUCCAGACUUUAGGAAUAACCACUGUCUUAUAUCCAAAUUCGGCGUGUAGUUGUCGAAUGUUCUCAGAGUGAACUAUUUGGCUGCCUUAAGAUAAAUGGCAACUCUUAACAUAUCUUGUAGUUGCUCCUUUAUUAAUGUGGAAUGACUGGAUUUGUAUUCAACCUGUAUUAAAAAAUUUGCUGACAAGAUAUUAUAAGUUAUUAUCUAAAAAAUUCUUUGUGCAUGAGUUUUUUUUUAAA